UGUUGAAUAAGAGGUGUCCCCAGGACUGUCUGAUCUGAGAAUGGUGAAAUAUUAAUGUCAAUCUCAGGUUCGUCAGCCCAUGCGGCAUCUUUUGAGAGCA
Pelobates cultripes (western spadefoot toad) is the source of this 100-nucleotide non-coding RNA. The record is from the annotation of a GenBank genome assembly. NCBI's taxonomy places the organism in Eukaryota, Metazoa, Chordata, Amphibia, Anura, Pelobatidae.